AGCUUUGCGCAGUGGCAGUAUCAUAGCCAAUGAGGUUUAUCCGAGGCGCGAUUAUUGCUAAUUGAAAAAAAAAAAAUUAAAGUCCGAGUCUGUAGUAUCAAACUCAGUCUAAUAGCAGCUCUUCAAUAGUUUCAUUUUGUGUGGCACUAUAAUAUU
RNAcentral lists this small nuclear RNA (156 nucleotides) under Tupaia belangeri chinensis (Chinese tree shrew). RNAcentral's name for it is "Tupaia chinensis (Chinese tree shrew) U4 spliceosomal RNA". The stretch from base 1 to 134 matches the Rfam family "U4 spliceosomal RNA". From Rfam's summary of the family: U4 small nuclear RNA (U4 snRNA) is a component of the major U2-dependent spliceosome. The structure of U4 snRNA from yeast and human has been reported. U4 snRNA presents a k-turn RNA motif in the 5p-SL related to recognition of Snu13 protein. Lineage: Eukaryota; Metazoa; Chordata; Mammalia; Scandentia; Tupaiidae. The record is from Rfam by way of RNAcentral.